RNAcentral lists this ribosomal RNA (476 nucleotides) under Flavobacterium sp. E0-B8. Its description in RNAcentral is "bacterial SSU rRNA". It matches the Rfam family "Bacterial small subunit ribosomal RNA", at positions 998 to 1485 of the family's 1533-position model. Lineage: Bacteria; Pseudomonadati; Bacteroidota; Flavobacteriia; Flavobacteriales; Flavobacteriaceae. The record is from RNAcentral.
GUUUAGAAAUAGACUUUUCUUCGGACAUUUUUCAAGGUGCUGCAUGGUUGUCGUCAGCUCGUGCCGUGAGGUGUUAGGUUAAGUCCUGCAACGAGCGCAACCCCUGUCACUAGUUGCCAUCAUUAAGUUGGGGACUCUAGUGAGACUGCCUACGCAAGUAGAGAGGAAGGUGGGGAUGACGUCAAAUCAUCACGGCCCUUACGCCUUGGGCCACACACGUAAUACAAUGGCCGGUACAGAGGGCAGCUACACAGCGAUGUGAUGCAAAUCUCGAAAGCCGGUCUCAGUUCGGAUUGGAGUCUGCAACUCGACUCUAUGAAGCUGGAAUCGCUAGUAAUCGCGCAUCAGCCAUGGCGCGGUGAAUACGUUCCCGGGCCUUGUACACACCGCCCGUCAAGCCAUGGAAGUCUGGGGUACCUGAAGUCGGUGACCGUAACAGGAGCUGCCUAGGGUAAAACAGGUAACUAAGGGCUUAG